RNAcentral lists this ribosomal RNA (495 nucleotides) under uncultured bacterium. RNAcentral describes it as "partial 16S ribosomal RNA". It matches the Rfam family "Bacterial small subunit ribosomal RNA", at positions 28 to 507 of the family's 1533-position model. The record is from RNAcentral.
GACGAACGCUGGCGGCGUGCCUAAUACAUGCAAGUCGAACGCUGAAGGAGGAGCUUGCUUCUCUGGAUGAGUUGCGAACGGGUGAGUAACGCGUAGGUAACCUGCCUGGUAGCGGGUGAUAACUCUUGGAAACGAUAGCUAAUACCGCAUAAGAGUUGAUGUUGCAUGACAUUUGCUUAAAAGGUGCAAUUGCAUCACUACCAGAUGGACCUGCGUUGUAUUAUCUAGUUGGUGGUGUAACGGCUUACCAAGGCGACGAUAGAUAGCCGACCUGAUGAGGGGAUCGGCCACACUGGGACUGAGAAACGGCCCAGACUCCUAAGGGAGGCAGCAGUAGGGGAUCUUCGGCAAUGGGCGGAAGUCUGACCGAGCAACGCCGCGUGAGGGAAGAAGGUUUUCGGAUCGUAAAGCUCUGUUGUAAGAGAAGAACGAGUGUGGGAGUGGAAAGUUCACACUGUGACGGUAUCUUACCAGAAAGGGACGGCUAACUACGUG